This 73-nucleotide transfer RNA is filed under the name Actinomycetota bacterium. RNAcentral describes it as "tRNA-Thr". It matches the Rfam family "tRNA". From Rfam's summary of the family: Transfer RNA (tRNA) molecules are approximately 80 nucleotides in length. Their secondary structure includes four short double-helical elements and three loops (D, anti-codon, and T loops). The record is from RNAcentral. Lineage: Bacteria; Bacillati; Actinomycetota.
GCUGGAGUAGCUCAGCUGGUAGAGCAGCCGCCUUGUAAGCGGCAGGUCGCAGGUUCGAAUCCUGUCUCCAGCU